RNAcentral lists this small RNA (520 nucleotides) under uncultured Glomus. RNAcentral describes it as "SSU rRNA". It matches the Rfam family "Eukaryotic small subunit ribosomal RNA", at positions 569 to 1090 of the family's 1831-position model. Lineage: Eukaryota; Fungi; Glomeromycota; Glomeromycetes; Glomerales; Glomeraceae. The record is from RNAcentral.
AGCAGCCGCGGUAAUUCCAGCUCCAAUAGCGUAUAUUAAAGUUGUUGCAGUUAAAAAGCUCGUAGUUGAAUUUCGGGGUUAGUAGGUUGGUCAUGCCUCUGGUAUGUACUGGUCUCACUGAUUCCUCCUUCCUUAUGAACCGUAAUGCCAUUAAUUUGGUGUUGCGGGGAAUUUGGACUGUUACUUUGAAAAAAUUAGAGUGUUUAAAGCAAGCUAACGCUUGAAUACAUUAGCAUGGAAUAAUGAAAUAGGACGUUCGAUCUUAUUUUGUUGGUUUCUAGGAUUGACGUAAUGAUUAAUAGGGAUAGUUGGGGGCAUUAGUAUUCAAUUGUCAGAGGUGAAAUUCUUGGAUUUAUUGAAGACUAACUACUGCGAAAGCAUUUGCCAAGGAUGUUUUCAUUAAUCAAGAACGAAAGUUAGGGGAUCGAAGACGAUCAGAUACCGUCGUAGUCUUAACCAUAAACUAUGCCGACUAGGGAUCGGAUGAUGUUAAUUUUUUAAUGACUCAUUCGGCGCCUUA